Chinchilla lanigera (long-tailed chinchilla) is the source of this 501-nucleotide long non-coding RNA. RefSeq lists it as uncharacterized. The record is from RefSeq and is a predicted model, not a curated record. NCBI's taxonomy places the organism in Eukaryota, Metazoa, Chordata, Mammalia, Rodentia, Chinchillidae. The transcript has 3 exons.
CUCCUCUGUCUCUCAUUGGCCCUCGCAGGGCUCAUCGUGGGCGCCAUUGGCUGGCAGCGAGUGUCCGUCAGGGCGGCGGGGCGGGACAGAGGAGGAGAGGGAUGCUGGUGCCUCUGCGUCUCUAUCUCUGUAGAAAGUCCAGCAGAUAGAAGAUCAGGAGGGCCUAGGAGGAAAGGGCGCACGUCUGACAGACAAGGAAAGACUCAAGAUGUAGCUGAUACUGUUUCCAGAUACCAGGGGUGAAACCCCGCGGAGGUGUCCAGAGGCAGCUGGAAUCUUGGGACUUCAGAGUAGGUGGACAGUCUAGACUCGAGGGGCACAGCGUUUACAACCUAAAUGGAGUGGUCUAGGACAUGCUAGAGGACAAAUUCUCCCCAAAAAUGUUAACGAGCACCCACAUUUAAAGUUAAGAGGAUGAAAAAGGAACAGAAUAGUAAAGCUCCAUGAAAAUUAAAGGAGCAAAGGUCUCUGGUAAAACAAUAAAGCUAUAGGAGCAAUGCA